UAUCUCUGUAGAGUCUGCAUAUCAAUAAGCGGAGGAAAAGAAACUAACUAGGAUUCCCUCAGUAACGGCGAGUGAAGCGGGAAGAGCUCAAAUUUGAAAUCUUCAAGGUUCUACCUUGACGAAUUGUAGUUUAAAGAAGUGUUUUCUGUUGGAGUUUUGGUAAAAGUUCUUUGGAAUAGGACAUCAUAGAGGGUGAGAAUCCCGUAUUUGACCAUUAUUUCCAGCUUUGUGAUACACUUUCAAAGAGUCGGAUUGUUUGGGAAUGCAGUCCAAAAUGGGUGGUAAAUUUCAUCUAAAGCUAAAUAUUGGCGAGAGACCGAUAGCGAACAAGUACCGUGAGGGAAAGAUGAAAAGAACUUUGAAAAGAGAGUUAAACAGUACGUGAAAUUGCCAAAAGGGAAGCGUUUGACACCAGUGUUGUUUUCUCGAAAAUCAAUUAAAAAUGGCAGGAUUUUGUGUUGUAUUGACUUUAUCAGCUUUCUGCACUUUUUUCCUGUCUUUUUUAAUGCACUUUUCGUUUAACAAGUCAACAUCAAUUUCUUUUGUUGUAAAAGGGUCAUUGGAAGGUGGCUUUCUUUUCGGAGAAAGUGUUUAUAGCCUUUGGCCUCUGCAAUCGGAGAGAUUGAGGUCUGCAGCGUAGAUCCUUCGGGGUUAGAUACAUUUGUGCUAAGUUAUAGCCUUUCAUAGACAACUUGUUGACUAUGAUCAGUCAUGUAGCUUACUCGCUUAUGCUAUUUUACCUACGCUUAGGAUGUUGAGUCAUCACACAUCUCU
RNAcentral lists this ribosomal RNA (774 nucleotides) under uncultured Neocallimastigales. Its description in RNAcentral is "partial large subunit ribosomal RNA". It matches the Rfam family "Eukaryotic large subunit ribosomal RNA", at positions 24 to 614 of the family's 3401-position model. Lineage: Eukaryota; Fungi; Neocallimastigomycota; Neocallimastigomycetes; Neocallimastigales. The record is from RNAcentral.